Long non-coding RNA from Brassica rapa (field mustard), 485 nucleotides. RefSeq lists it as uncharacterized. Lineage: Eukaryota; Viridiplantae; Streptophyta; Magnoliopsida; Brassicales; Brassicaceae. The record is from RefSeq and is a predicted model, not a curated record.
UGUCGUCUUAACAAUCACAAAUUAACAAAAAAAAAAAAAUUAAAAAUCAGUCUUUGAUCCAUAAAGCACACAACUUUCUUAUGUACAGAACCAAAAAUAGUAGAAAGCAGAGCAAUACCAACAUCAUCGAGCGUAGACGGUAACACCAGCCUCUCCUAAAAUCUCUGUUCAAGAACAAUAUAAAAAUAGGGGUGGAGGUGAUGGAAAAAAAGAAGCCAAGGAGGACCUGUAUCAGGGAUUUGCUGAUGAUUUGCAUGUACACCUGCUUAUGAAUCGAGAGGAAGUGAUGCUUCCAAUGACUCUGCUCGGGAUUUUCUUGGAUCGAGUCAAAUAUAUGAAGUUUCGCAAAUCGAAGCGGCAUUCGACGAAGACUUCGUCCUCUCAAGAUGAAAAAGAACACAAAAUUAAUCAAUUAAUCGGCCUUUUCAAUUUUCUCCGGUGAAACUGUCGCUUAAGAGAGAGAGAGAGAGAGAGAGAGAGAGAGA